UACGUAGGGUGCUAGCGUUGUUCGGAAUCAUUGGGCGUAAAGCGCGUGUAGGCGGUCAGGCAAGUCGAAUGUGAAAUCCCUGGGCUCAACCGAGGAAGUGCAUACGAAACUGCCCGGCUAGAAGACGGUAGAGGAAGGUGGAAUUCCUAGUGUAGAGGUGAAAUUCGUAGAUAUUAGGAGGAAUACCGGUGGCGAAGGCGGCCUUCUGGGCCGAUCUUGACGCUGAGACGCGAAAGCGUGGGGAGCAAACAGG
This 253-nucleotide ribosomal RNA is filed under the name uncultured bacterium. RNAcentral describes it as "partial 16S ribosomal RNA". It matches the Rfam family "Bacterial small subunit ribosomal RNA", at positions 524 to 776 of the family's 1533-position model. The record is from RNAcentral.